CCAGAUCUACGUCUCCUUCUUUGAUGGCAUUCCUUGAGGCAGGACCACACUGAUAAAUUCCUAUGGUAUCAAGAAAGUAUACCUUAGAACUAAUCAAUGGUUUUAAACACUACUCCUGGAAUGAAAUCUGUGUACCUCCACUUUCUUCUUGGGGAGUUGCAUCCAGAAUUUGCCAUCCGCUGUAUGAAGGACCCAAGUCCUUGCGGGAAAACCAGCUUUCAUUCCAGACAUGGAAAUUCCUACAUUCAAGAAUAAAUAAAGUAAGCCCAUGAUUAUGUGGUGAAUGUUCUAUCCCCAUACUACAAAAGUGCAGGUCAAGUGGAGAAGCUGAAAAUACUAAUCAAACUACAAGUAAAUCAGUUCUUUCAGGGGAAUGCUGAUAUAUUCGUACCUGAAGACCAAGGGUUGAAGAGCAAAACAAAAGUGCCAAGG
This is a non-coding RNA of Meleagris gallopavo (turkey), 432 nucleotides long. The record is from RefSeq and is a predicted model, not a curated record. NCBI's taxonomy places the organism in Eukaryota, Metazoa, Chordata, Aves, Galliformes, Phasianidae.